UAAGUAUUAGCUCAGUUGGGAGAGCGCUGGACUGAAGAUUCAGAGGUCGUGGGUUCAAGCCCCACCUGCCCCA
Molecule: transfer RNA, 73 nt
Filed under: Candidatus Huberarchaeum julieae
Lineage: Archaea; Nanobdellati; Candidatus Huberarchaeota; Candidatus Huberarchaeia; Candidatus Huberarchaeales; Candidatus Huberarchaeaceae
Description: Euryarchaeota archaeon HGW-Euryarchaeota-1 tRNA-Phe
Rfam family: tRNA (bases 8-65)
About the family: Transfer RNA (tRNA) molecules are approximately 80 nucleotides in length. Their secondary structure includes four short double-helical elements and three loops (D, anti-codon, and T loops). Further hydrogen bonds mediate the characteristic L-shaped molecular structure. tRNAs have two regions of fundamental functional importance: the anti-codon, which is responsible for specific mRNA codon recognition, and the 3' end, to which the tRNAs corresponding amino acid is attached (by aminoacyl-tRNA synthetases). tRNAs cope with the degeneracy of the genetic code in two manners: having more than one tRNA (with a specific anti-codon) for a particular amino acid; and 'wobble' base-pairing, i.e. permitting non-standard base-pairing at the 3rd anti-codon position.
Source: RNAcentral